UACAGAGGUCCCGAGCGUUGUUCGGAUUUAUUGGGCGUAAAGGGUGCGUAGGCGGCGGAGUAAGUUGGGUGUGAAAUCCCGGGGCUCAACCUCGGAAUUGCAUUCAAUACUGCUUCGCUCGAGUACUGGAGAGGAGGCUGGAAUUUACGGUGUAGCAGUGAAAUUCGUAGAUAUCGGGAGGAACACCAGUGGCGAAGGCGGCGACCUGGGCAGAUACUGACGCUGAGGUGCGAAAGCGUGGGGAGCAAACAGG
Molecule: ribosomal RNA, 253 nt
Filed under: uncultured bacterium
Lineage: Bacteria
Description: partial 16S ribosomal RNA
Rfam family: Bacterial small subunit ribosomal RNA
Source: RNAcentral